GCAAUGUGGUGGAGUUGUGGGGUUUGUAUGUCCUUAGGUGGCUGGUGGUGUAGCUGUGUCAUAGUGAAGUUAAUGUGUGCUGUUGCUCAAAGAGAGGUGUAAAGGUUGACAGCAUGGAGAGGCUUGGCAUUGUGUGUGAGCUGUUCUGAUGAGGAGUUGCCACCAGAAAAUACAGAAGAAAGCUGGGUGAUGCUGAAAUGGGAAGGUUUGUUGCCUGAAAUCCUGAACUCCAGCACUGUGAGCAGAAGCAGCACACCUGGGAAAGAAGGUGCUACAGCAAGCCCUGAGAGGACCUUCAGUGGCUGAAAUGGUUGUUGAGAUGAA
Long non-coding RNA from Zonotrichia leucophrys gambelii, 324 nucleotides. RefSeq lists it as uncharacterized. The record is from RefSeq and is a predicted model, not a curated record. The transcript has 3 exons. Lineage: Eukaryota; Metazoa; Chordata; Aves; Passeriformes; Passerellidae.